RNAcentral lists this ribosomal RNA (499 nucleotides) under uncultured bacterium. RNAcentral describes it as "bacterial SSU rRNA". It matches the Rfam family "Bacterial small subunit ribosomal RNA", at positions 28 to 525 of the family's 1533-position model. The record is from RNAcentral.
GAUGAACGCUAGCGGCAGGCCUAAUACAUGCAAGACGAACGGUAAGUUGAGUAGCAAUACUUAGCCAAGAGUGUCGUACGGGUGCGUAACACGUAUGCAACCUACCCUAUACAGGAGGAUAGCCUAGGGAAACCUGGAUUAACCCUUCAUAGUAUUAUUGGAUGGCAUCAUUUGAUAAUUAAAACUGAGGUGGUAUAGGAUGGGCAUGCGUCUGAUUAGUUAGUUGGCGGGGUAAUGGCCCACCAAGACGAUGAUCAGUAGGGGUUCUGAGAGGAAGAUCCCCCACACUGGCACUGAGAUACGGGCCAGACUCCUACGGGAGGCAGCAGUAGGGAAUAUUGGUCAAUGGAUGCAAGUCUGAACCAGCCAUGCCGCGUGCAGGAAGAAGGCCUUCUGGGUUGUAAACUGCUUUUGCCAGGGGAUAAAAUUCCAUGCGUGGAAACUGAAGGUACCUGGUGAAUAAGCCACGGCUAACUACGUGCCAGCAGCCGCGGUAAUC